GUAACAAACAAAGCAAUCUUUCAUGGAGAGAAACCUUAGUCUCAGUAUGAUCACUGUGUCAUUAACCCACUGCCUGCUUCUUUGCUUGGUUGUUGCAGCAGCAGCAGCAGCAAGCAGCAAUAUUCCCACAGACCAACAAGCUCUUCUUGCCCUGAAAGAUCAUAUAAUUUAUGAUCCGACCAACCUUUUAGCCCAUAAUUGGACCUCGAAUACCUCUGUUUGUACCUGGAUUGGCAUCACUUGUGAUGUCAAUAGCCAUAGAGUCACAACCUUAGAUAUUUCUCAAUUCAAUCUACAAGGCACCAUCCCUCCUCAACUUGGAAACCUCUCUUCACUCACAACACUUAAUCUUAGUCAUAAUAAGCUUUCUGGAAGCAUUCCCCCUCCAUCUACACCAUGCAUACGCUAAAAUUUCUAGACUCCACUGAUAACCAGCUCUCUGGUUCAGUGUCUUCCUUCGUCUUCAACAUGACUUCAAUAUUCGACAUUCGUUUGACCAAUAACAGACUUUCCGGUGAGCUUCCGAAAAAUAUUUGCAAUUACCUUCCUCAUUUGAAAGCCCUUUUUUUGGACAAAAACAUGUUUCAUGGAAAAAUUCCUUCUGCUUUAUCAAAGUGCAAACAACUGCAACAAUUAAAUUUGCAUUCCAAUAAUUUAUCCGGGGCAAUACCAAAAGAAAUCGGCAACUUGACUAUGCUCAAAGGGAUAGACCUCGGCUACAACAAACUCCACGGUAUGUUCAUAAUACUAUCUAAAUAUUUUAAUUUAUCACUUGUUAAUUUUCUUGAAUACCUUAGAUAAGAUCUUGUAAGUGAGAUUUUUUGCAUCUAUGUUAAUUUACCAGGUGAGAUACCACACGAAAUCGCUAAUCUUCGAAAUCUAGAGGCUUUAGUGCUUGGAAUGAACAACCUAGUUGGUAUGGUAUCAGCUACAAUCUUCAACAUGUCAACAGUGAAGGUGAUUAUCCUCAUAAAUAACUCUCUCUCUGGAAGUCUUCCAUCAAGAAUGGACCUUUCACUUCCAACUAUUGAGCAUCUUAACUUGGCACUUAAUAGAUUUUCUGGAACCAUUCCUAGUUCUAUCACCAAUGCUUCUAAGCUCACCUUUCUAGAGUUGGGAGGAAACACAUUUUCGGGCUUUAUUCCAAACACAUUUGGUAAUUUAAGAAACCUUGAGCUGCUCGACUUGGCUAAUAACUACUUGACAUCUUCAACCUCAAAAUUGAGCUUCCUUUCCUCUUUGGCAAAUUGCAAGAAAUUAAGAACCUUAAGAUUAAGUGGCAAUCCACUUGACGGCGUCCUUCCAAGUUCAAUAGGAAAUCUUUCUAAGUCUUUGGAAACACUUGUCAUCGUCAAUUGCAGUAUUAGUGGCAACAUUCCUCGAGCAAUUGGCAAUUUAAGCAACUUGUUGGCCUUAGUAUUAGAAGCCAAUAAAUUGACUGGACCAAUUCCAAUUACAUUCGGCCGACUACAGAAACUCCAAGGCUUAGAUCUUGCAUUCAAUAAGUUGGUAGGUUCAUUCCCAGAUGAGCUUUGCCAUCUAGCUAGGCUGGCUGAAUUGGUCUUAUUUGGCAAUAAGCUUUCAGGAUCUAUACCUUCAUGCCUAAGUAAUCUCACUUCUCUAAGAUCUCUCUACUUAGGGUCCAAUAGGUUUACUUCUGUUAUUCCCUCAACUUUCUGGAGCCUAAAAGACAUCUUGUUCUUUGACUUUUCAUCAAAUUUCUUGGUUGGUCCUCUUUCUUUAGACAUAGGAAAUUUGAAGGUGCUUGUAAGAAUAAAUUUAUCAAAAAAUAACUUAUCCGGUGAUAUCCCAGCCACAAUUGGAGGACUGAAAGAUCUUCAAUUUAUGGACGUAGCAUAUAAUAGAUUGGAAGGCCCAAUUCCUGAAUCAUUUGGUGACUUGACAAGUUUGGAGGUUUUGAAUUUGUCAAAAAAUAAAAUCUCUGGGUCUAUUCCAACAUCCAUGGAGAAACUCUUUUACCUCCGAGAGUUAAAUCUCUCUUUCAAUGAACUAGAAGGUGAGAUUCCCAGUGGAGGAAUUUUUGCCAACUUCACAGCUGAGUCAUUUAUGGGAAAUGAGUUAUUGUGUGGUUUACCAAGUCUUCAAGUCCAACCAUGCAAAGUUAGCAAGCCGAGGACAGAACAUAAAUCAAGGAAAAAGAUACUUCUCAUUGUGAUUGUUUUGCCAUUGAGUAUUGCUCUAACAAUAGCAAUCACACUAGCUCUCAAAUCUAAGCUGAUCGAAUGUGGAAAAAGAAGCACAGUGUUGUCAAAUGAUAGUGUCUUGUCAUCACAAGCAACACUAAGAAGAUUUUCAUACUUAGAACUUUUACAAGCAACAGAUAAUUUUGCUGAAAACAACGUAAUUGGCAUUGGAGGUUUUGGUUCUGUUUAUAGAGCAAGACUUGAAGAUGGGAUGAAGAUUGCAAUAAAAGUGUUUCACCAGCAAUGUGCAAGCGCAUUGAAGAGUUUUGAGGCUGAAUGUGAAGUGUUAAAAAAUAUUCGCCAUCGAAAUCUUCUCAAAGUUAUCAGCAGUUAUUCAAACAAUGACUUCAAAGCAUUAGUCCUAGAAUACAUGUCCAACGGGAGCUUGGGGGAUUGGCUGCAUUCUAGCAAUUAUAUGCUGAAUAUAUUUCAAAGGUUGAACAUAAUGAUUGACGUUGCAUCAGCUUUAGAAUAUCUCCACUUCGAUCAUUCAACUCCUAUCAUUCACUGUGACUUAAAGCCUAGUAAUGUAUUGUUGGACGAAAAUAUGGUUGCUCAUUUGAGUGAUUUUGGCAUAGCAAAGCUUUUAAGUGGAGAGGAUGAGUAUUUGAUGCGAACAAAAACCCUUGCCACUAUAGGUUAUAUGGCACCAGGUUUGCUUCAAACAAUUGUUUUUUUUUAAGUUCAUUUUAAAUUUUCCAAAUCAUUGAUUUUUACGAUCCUCACAUCAAAAUUUUCUUGAUUAUUUAUCUAAUUGUGAAAUUAAUUUUAUUCAUAGAGUACGGCAUAGAAGGAGAAGUAUCUACAAAAAGUGAUGUUUACAGCUAUGGGAUUAUGUUGAUGGAAACUUUUACUAAGAAAAACCCCACAGAUGAAAUUUUUGUUGGAGAAUUGAGCUUAAAGCGUUGGGUUAAUGACUUGCUUCCUACUUCAUUAGUGGAAGUUGUGGACAAAACUCUGCUAAGUGGAGAGGAAAAACAUUCUGCAGUAAAGGAGCAAUGUCUGUUGUCUAUCUUUAGUUUGGCUCUGGAGUGUACAAUGGAAUCACCGGAAAAGAGGAUUAAUGCAAAAGAUGUUGUUACCAGAUUACUCAAGAUAAGAGACACAUUGAGUAAAAGGAUAGGAAACUGAAGUUAAUUUCGUUUGCUUUCAUUGAUAGUUAAUUCAAAUUCAUGUAAUAAGUGUAAGAAUCUUAUAUCCUUUCCUUUGAUUUUUUUUUUUUUUUGAGAAAACUGUUGUAGUCAUCUUGUUUCACUGCCCCCAAUGCUUUGGACACCUACUGGUAGGUUUGUACGUGUCCUCAACUUUUUUUAGGAGCACAAAAUUCGAGUCCCAUGGAGACUCAAACAUUCCUUUCCCACAUCCCGAGCACGCUAAGUUCGAGUGAAAGAGAUUAAUUUACGGAAACUAAAGCCAAGAGAAUAAAGGACAACACUUAUGUGAAGCGACAUAAAUGUAUUGAUAGCACAAUGUCAAAUUCAUACAGAGAUCUAGUAUACUAUUUACAGCCGGUAAGGGCUAAGAAUUGAUGUAGCUAGAAUACAAAGACGAUAAGGUAUGUUGUGCACUAUUGUUUUAUUCUACGAUCAAUCUUGACCCUUGAUGCUUGGCUCUCAAUCUUGUCCAUUGAUCUUCUUUGAUUUUGUACACUUCAAGACCUUUCAGUAUCAUUCCUUGUUGUUGGUGUCUUCCGUGCUGUAGAAUUCAUAUACAAGCCUUCCCGCCGACUUGCGAAGUAUUCGUUCAUUGAUGCAUUUUUAUCAAACAGUUGGCCGACUUGCCAAGUAUCAUGCCUUGUUAUAGGUAGGCUUGGUAGGAUUAUGGGUCGGUCGGUAGAUGUACAUGUGUUAAAGCUUUUGAAUUUAUGCCAAUUGAAAAUAAAAAAGAAUCUACAUAAAUUUUCAACGAGGCUAUUACCACAAUAAGCAUUUGGAUGAAUUAUUAUUGAAUCCUUUCUGAGAAGUAGGACAUGUCAGACAUCAAAGCACUGAGAUAUCUUCAAAUAGUGGUAACCCCCACGCAACAAGGCACAAUAAAUUAUACAGAUAAAAUCCUUCACUCUUUCGUAAUCAUCAGUGUAGGCACGGUGAUGCGUCAGACAGAUAUGGGUCGGAUCCACUCCAGCUCCAUAUCAAGAUUCAUAAACCAUGACAAAAAUAGAGAAUCAUAGGUGUUGCAGAUAGUGAUGGUUGUUGAUGCACUCGUGAUUUAAAAUUUUAUUUUAUAUCUUCAAGUUCGCAUUUUAAGUGUCCUUUUUUUUAAUUUUUUAUUGUGAUCAUUAUAACUUGUCAAAUCUAUUUUUAAAUAAUUUUUUAAAAAUAUUUUAUUAACAAUGAUAUGAAAAUAUUCGAACACCUUUUCAUAGUAAAGUGAAUUAUUAUCCGACGAUCCAACUCAUGUUUUCAAAUUGUAAAUUGCAAAUCGUGUGUUUGCUCCAUUACAGAGUUUCAUCAAUUUGAAAUAGAGAAUCAUUUGUGUUCUAGAUUAAUCGAGGGUCUAUAUCCAAAUCUAAAAAUUGACUAACUUGGUUUCUAUUAAAUUCUUAAUCCUAACAAGAAAAAUAGAAGAUUAAAAAUGACUAAUUUGGUUUCUAUUAAUUUGAGUAACGAUCGAAUUACCUAAUUUAUUAAGAUUUAUCAAAAUCCUAUGUCAAAAUCCAUUAAUGAUAUAGGUUCAAUGACGAAAUAGUCACUUGUUAUUAUUUUUGACUUCAUAAAUAGAUGAACGGAUGUUAUUUUUGGAUUCUGGAGAAUCGAAAAUAUCAGGAUAGGUGAUAAAUGGAAUUAAGUUGUAGAUAAGAUAGAAAUGGAUUUGGAGAGAGAUUGGAAUCCUGGGUAAUCCGGAGUACGUUGUUGUGUUGAAUGCUCGUUGACUUCACGUUGACUGAAACAUUAUUGGAAGAAGUGAGCAAGCUUAUUUUCUUCUCUCAUUUUUUAAAUUUGUCUUAAGUUUAUUGAUGUGAGGCCUUUGAGAUUGUAAGUUUCAAAUCUGAGAAGAAUAACCACACACCCAUUAUCCUAUUACUCUUAUUUUAUCACAUGAAGAGAAUUCGAAGUUUGAUAAAUUUGUGAGGAUUGUGAGGGUUGAUGCAAUAUAAUUUAGAUGCAAAGUGUUUACAAGUACGAUGCUUCAUAAGUGUUCUUGAAUCAUUAUAAACUCACGUUAUUUUUAUAAUGAUUGUUUCAUCUGCACAUGGAUAUAAUCAUAUGUUGAGAUUUUUUCCUAAAUUAUGGUCUUAUUUGGUAUUGAGGUGUUAGAUCUUUUAAGUUACAAUUACUAUUGGAAAAAAAAGUGCAACUAUGAAAUAAAAGUUAAUAUUGUGUACUAAAUAUAAUUGUUAAAUAAUAAUUUUGACAAAAUUAGUGAAGAUAUAUAGGUUUUUUUUUAAUCAUCUAAGUGUAAAAUCAAAUCAACUUAACUUCUAAACUAUAUAGCAGCUACUGUUUACCAAAUACUUUAGUACUGUAACUUUUAAGUUAUAGCUGCCUAACCUCAGUCUCAAACAAUGGCUAUAAAGAUCAAAGAUUUCCUCAUAAAAAUUAUACGUCUUGUGAUUGCUUAUUUAAUUUAUAUUUUUUUAUUUAUCUUUAUUAAUUACAGUCAUCUUUUAAUAAAUUACAAUUGCAGGAAGUUGAUGUUCGAAGUGCUUAUGUCGACUCAAAGUUGUUGGGAAUUAAUGCAUGUAUUGAUUUAUUGGGAGUGUUUAAAUGAUUUUGUGAUUUACUUGAUUGAUUGAUUGAAUAAUGUUUGAUUGCUUCAUAUCCGUUCUAGAAAGUUUAUUUCUUUGUGAAAUUUCAAUGAAAUAUGUUUUUUUAAAUUAUAAGGGUUUUUUAAGUAAUUUUAAAAAUAAAUGAACUAAUAAGGAUUAAUUAUUAGGUAAUUAACUUGAACUAUACAGGGUAAGCGAACAUGUAUCCUAAUUAUAUCAUGAUAAAUCCUUUUCCGAUCAGAAUUAGGAAACCAUAAGUAUAUUGAUUUUUUUUUCCAAUUCUCCUUUGCGAAAACGGAUUACAGAAUUAGAAAACAAUCCUAAUGAUAUUAUUGUUAGGUUUAAAACACUGCAUAGAUAGUAAAAAGCUAACUAGUUCGUAGAGUAAUUUGUUAAUUGCUAUCGCCUCUGCCUGCGCGGUGAAUAAUUUGUUGCAUGCAAAUUUUUUAUUUUAUGCAAAUCGUACUGAACAUUGGAAUUGAUGUAUAAGCAAAAAUACAAGAGUAUUUAUGUCAAUACAAAUUUUUUUUUUCCAUUUUAAAUAAACACAACGCGAUGUUUAUCUGCUCCGCGUUUUUGCAAUCUGUUUAUUCGUUGUUUAUUUGCUUCUUAAGGCCUCAAACUUUGAUAACCAAAAAUUUCACCAAACUAUGAAAAAUAUUCUGCAGGUUAGUUUUUAUUUUCGGAAUAAUUAUUUGAGAAUACUAAAACACAAUAUAAAAUAAGAAAAUAGGGGGUUAAAAUUUGAAAAAAAAACAAAAGGGCAUGUUGGAUAGAUUACUGUAGUUUAAGAAAAAAAUUAUUCAGUUGGGAAUUUUUUUUCUUUAAUUUUUGUUUUACUUAAUUGAGAUUUCUCCUUAAUCCUUACAGUUUUAAAUUUGGAUAACAUAGGAUUAGUAAUUUAGUACUUCCUUUGCAAGCCGAGGUUAAUGAUGAAAUUCUUUUAAGAAAAAAGAUAAAAGAGCAUACCAAUAGUCAAUUAUAAAUAACCACAAAUAAAUACAAACAAAAUGUUUAUGAAGUAAAUUAAAAAUGUGCAUAUUAUUUUUUUUUUAUUUCUUACUAAUCUUUGUAUUUGCUGCUUGAAAAACCAUAAAUACACAGAUGACCAUUGGCUUCGCACCAUUUAAUUGGGAUACAUUUCUACGUACAAACUGAACAAGGCUAUUGAUUUUUAUUAUUAUUUUUAUUUAUUUAUAAAUUACUAUUUCAAUUUUCACUUUUUAUUGGGUUGUUUAAUGGAUUAGUGAGGCUGGUGGUCGUUGAUGCACUCACAAGGUACAAUUUUGUUUUCCAAUUUCAAAUUCGUAUUUUAAAAUGCAGCACAUUAUGUAUACAUAAUUAUUGAUUUUCAUAUGUGGGUGUUUUGAAAUAUUGCUAAAAGACCAAACUUUAAUAAACUAUUUUUGAUCCUUUUUUGUUUCUUUUUUCCUAAAGUUUGAGUGAUAUCCGCAUUUUUAAAAGCUAAUGUAUGCAAAAAAUUCUUUUAUUUUUCUGGGGAAAAUAGGCAAGAGAAAACGUUUUGGCAAAUGAGUUGCAACUGAAUUCAAAACCAAUACGAUGCGAGCAUAGGAAAGAGGUCAGUGUUUUGGAUUUGAAUUUAGUAUUGAGCUGAAUUUUAUGUUUAACACAUGAUUCUAUUAUAGUACUGCGAUUAAUAAGCUCAGCCCCGGAUUUGCUUUUGCUUUUGCUUUUACUUCAAGUGAAAGAAAGAGGAAACCUUUUGUUUUUUCUUUGGUUUUUGACUAUGUUACCUAUACAGAGAGUCAAGAUAUCAGCCAUAAGUGAUGGUGUUAAAAAGAUUAAGCAGCGCACACAAUCUUACUGCUGUCUAGACCAUCCAAUGAUGACUCCAGUCUUUUGGUUACAUUAGCUUUAGUUGAAAUAAGGGCCAAUUUAGCAAACACUAGCUUUGGCGGCUUACUAUGUUUAAUGUAAUGCUUAUUCUCAAGGAAUCUAAUGUUAUAAGAUGAUUGAAUGAUCUUCUAUGAUUGUGAGUAGUAUAGGAUAAUUGAAAAGAGCCUGGCUCCUAUGAUAAAUAACAGUAACACAGUACUGUGAUUGAAAAAGUUCAGUUACAAAAACUUAGUUACAGUAAACUCUUCAUUUAUUCAUUGCGGAGAUUGAAUGGCAAAAAGAGAAUAGAAUGAAGCAGAGGAAUCUCAUUGCCAAUAAAAUUGACCCUCUUUAAUGUUAUAUGGCACAGGUAUGUUUACAUCAAGAACAAGUUACUUACAGUUUUUAUUGUAGUUAAGUUUUGAUGAUUUCAGAUGCUUUUUUUUUUUAAUUGUGACACCUUUGAUUUAUAAUAAUAUUGCAAAUAUAUAUAUAUAUAUAUAUUAGUAGUUUUUUGGUCCGAAAUUUUAAAGUGUGAGAAAGUAUGAGAAAGCUUUAAAACCGCACGGUGUUAAAGGCUUACAGUUUUAAGCAUUUUAAUCCAUGCGGUUUUAAAGUUUUACUGGAUUUUUCCGCACUUUAAAAUUCCAGACUGAAACAUUUCUGUAUAUAUAUACAUAUAAAUAUAUAAAUUAAGAGGGAUGAGUUAACUGAAGAUUAUAAUCAUUACAACAAUGCUGAUGAGUGAUACAUCACUUGAAAUUUACUUAUCAGUUGCUGAAAUGAUGAAAAAAAAACAAUAAACAAUAACAGUGAUAAUGUUCUCUUGCUAAAAUGACUUGUAUAUUAUACAAUCCACUCUACUUAAUGAUAUCGUUUUAAUAAAUGUUUGAUGAUCUCCAUUUAAAAACUACUUCAAUUUUUUUCUUCAUUUAACUUUUUGGUUGUUGAAAAUAACCUUAAUUAUCAAAUAAUUGGAGAAAGAGUAAAGAACAUUUAACAAAUUUAUGUGUAAAAAAAAAAAGGAGAAGUUGAAGAGAAAGGGUGCUUGCAGAAGUAGGUGUCAAAGAUAAAUCGGUCCAUAGGAAUUAUUUGUUGAGAUAUAAUUAAUAAUCUAGUAAAUUGAGCAAGAAGUUUGAAGGGUUAUUUGGUUUGUUUUUCAACAUGAAGUAAAGGGUAGAAUUGAUGUUUGCAAUGUAGCUUUGGAAAUGUAAAGCAUGAUUAAUGUAAUCUCUAGAGUUGUCUAUAAUGCAUAUAAAUAUAGAACUCUGGUUGUAUGAAAAGUAAGAGAGAAACGAAAAAAUGAAUUAAGCAAUAAAGUUUCAGAAAUUUCCAGCAAAAUACUCUGUUCUUAAAUAAAAAUUUUUCUGCACUUCCGCUUGCACCCAACAAAUUUGGUAUCAGAGCUAUUCCAAAACACCCUCAAAAUGACAUCAAACUUCUCCCUGUUUUGAGCUGGAAUAAGAGCAGAAAGCUGUGGGAAAAGGCACUAUUGCUGUCCAUACAAAGGAAGGUACUGAUUUCCUUAUUGUUUGCCUUUAUGUUGAUGCUGCAACAACAAUUUAUUGUGACAACAUGUCAGCCAUUGCUCUAACAAAGAACCCCGUAUUUCAUGCUAAAUCUAAGCACAUUGAGCUGCGUUAUCACUACAUCCGUGACUUAGUAAACAAAGGAGAAGUUAAUAUGGAGUUUAUCAGCACUAAUGAGCAGCCAUCAGAUUUUCUGACCAAAGCAAUCAACAUUGAGAAGUUUGAAAAAUUCAAGAAGCAAUUGAAGAUUACUAAUUAAGAGGGGGUGUUGAGAUAUAAUUAAUAAUCUAGUAAAUUGAGCAAGAAGUUUGAAGGGUUAUUUGGUUUGUUUUUCAACAUGAAGUAAAGGGUAGAAUUGAUGUUUGCAAUGUAGCUUUGGAAAUGUAAAGCAUGAUUAAUGUAAUCUCUAGAGUUGUCUAUAAUGCAUAUAAAUAUAGAACUCUGGUUGUAUGAAAAGUAAGAGAGAAACGAAAAAAUGAAUUAAGCAAUAAAGUUUCAGAAAUUUCCAGCAAAAUACUCUGUUCUUAAAUAAAAAUUUUUCUGCACUUCCGCUUGCACCCAACAUUAUUUUGGUUAUUUUUUAGCAAUAUAAAAAUUUUUUAGCAAGUAAAAAUUAAUUUUUUUCCAAUUUACUAAAAAAUUAACUAAAAACUUCUGCGAUAGCAUUUUUUAUGGGUGCAUAUACCUCCCUUUAAAAAAUAUAUAAUAAUUAAUGCUUAAUAUAGUAUUAAAUACGAAAAUAUCAAUAUUUGACUACUCAAAUUUAUAUCAUUAGGUCCUUAAAAUUUAAAAUUGAAGAUACAAAAGGAAAUAUAUAUAAAUUUCAUUCUCAUGGGAAAGGAUCAUCUUAUAAUCUUAUAAUAUUUGAGUUUUGAAAUAUUUUUUUGAAACAAAUGUACUUUUAUUUGUGUACAAUCAAUAUGUACUUAUUUAUUAUAUUUUUAUUUAUUAACUAUCAAUCAUGUGAGUAUAUUUAGUCAGAAAAAUUAUAUCAAGAGAGAACCCUAAUUUCACGUAAAGACAAAUACAAGACAAAUAUGGCAAUUUCUAUACUAUUCACUUUCCUGUAGAAUCAAUUAUCUAAAAUGCAAGUUUGUGGCUUCAAAAAACUCGCCAAAGAAAGAAGAUAAUUACAAUUGAGCAUUGAUAGCAAAUCUAAUGCAUCCAAUUCUUCUUAACUUGAUGAGUGACGUGAAUACUAGCAGUCUGUAACGCCCAAAUUUUUAUUAUUUUAUUUAUUUUUUAAUGGAAUUUAUAAAUGACAUUUUUGCCCUUAUAAAAACGGUUAUUCAUGGAAUAAUUUUUAGGAAAGGGUUAUUUUUCCAAAUUCAAUAGGGUUUCUUAAGACUCCCUAUAAAUUCAUAUUUUUCUCCUUCCAUAACCCUAAAAGCACGACGUUUCUUCUUCUUCUAUGCUGCUCAUUACGCUCUUACCCAAACCCUAGGAUUCAAACCUUUGGUUAAGAGAGAAUCAAAGCGAUUGGUAAGUUUAUUCCCCUUAUUCUCCACAAGAUUCCCAAUCACUCUAUCUAGGGUUUAUAUUGGCACGAUUUUAGAUUGUUAUAGAUCAUAAUGCAUGAUUUAGAAUGUGUUUAGGCUUUGUUUAGAGUUUUGAUUUAUUAUGAGUUUAGUUAAUCAACCUUGACGUAUUAAGCACAUAGAAUAGUUCCAUAGAAUAUUAUGUUAUUCUGAGUUUUAGAUUAAGAGUUAAAAUUCUGAGCAUCGGACCUGUACGGGUACGAAUUAAAAAAACCAGGUUCUUAGAAUAAGUUAUUAAUUGUCAUAUAUUGUAUUUGUUUAAGGCGUUGGAGGUGAUUGAGGCUCUUAGAGGGUUAGAGGUGUGUUAAUUCAAAUUCUUUUGUCAAGUUAAGUAACUUUAUUCCUAAUGUACUGGAUAUAUAUAUAUGAUUAUUUUGAUAUUAUUAUAAGUAUACGAAUUUUUUUACUACUUAGAAGAUUAAUGGAUUUUCAUAACAAAAUCAGUUUGUGUAAAUGUUUUCAAACCUAAAUUCUUUUUAAUAAAUUAUUUUGUAAAGGCUUUUAAAUAUGUAAGUUAUUUUAUGACAUGACUACCUUUUAUAAUUUUGUCUAUGAAAUAUUUGCAAGCCUAAAUUGUGGUUAUGGACUUUCAUGAAACUGAUACAAAUGUUUUGUACCUAUGUAUGAUUUCAAUUAUUUAUGAUUGUACGGGGGCCACCUCUUGGGACUAUAUGGGGGCCACCUCUUGAAAGCCAAAGCAUCGCAAAGUGCCACAUAUAAGUCAUUAUGUUUUGGCUCAUUGUCCAUAGUUAUUCUGAUUCUGAUUCUGAUCGUAUAAUACGAUAUAUGUCUGUUCUGGACCAGUACUGGGUUUUUGUUUUGAGUGUGCACACGAUAUUCUGAUUCUGUUUUUGGCCGAGUCACCAGGACUAUAGGUGACACUAUGUGACAUGAGCUAACCUUUUGUUUUAUGUGAAUGUGAUAUAUGAUUUGCUUUUGUAAGUAACUAUACUUUUGAUAUUCUGAGUUACAAUGAAUUUAAAUUAUUUUAUAGUGAUAUAUCGUUUUAUGAAAUUUAUGGAUUAUGAUAUAUGUUUUAAUUAAAAGAAGGCUUGCAAUAUUUUUGGUAUCGAUAGGCCUAGUGUGUUAGGAAUAGUUUUACUUACCGAGUUGACGGCUCACCCCUCGUCAUUACUUUUUGCAGAUUAAAUUUCUUUUGAGAGGUGCCCUUAGCUUUGGAGUUAGUAAUUUUCUGUUUCCGUUUGCCAUUUGAAUAAGAUGAGGAAUAGACUCAUGUUUCUAUUUAGUUUAUUUCUGUUAUGGACGUGUAAUUUGGAGUUUGAGACUUUUGUUAUUUUUUUUAUGUCCUCGGGAGAGAUUAUUUAGUAUUAGACGUUUGAAUUUGUGGAUUUAUUCGAAUAAGAAUUUGAGGUAUUUCAGUUUGAAACUUAUGAGUAAAGAUUAUGAUUUGUAAGUAACCUCCUUCUUCACGUGCUCCGCACGUGUUAGAUUUGGGGUGUUACAAUUGUGGUAUCAGAGCAUUAGGUUUGGGAUUCUGUAGACUUUAUUUGAGACUAGAUUUCUUAAGCACAAUCAAUUAGUUCAAUGGUAUUGCUUGCCAUGAGGUUAUCAGAAAGAGUAGAUCUUUAAGGCGAGGAGUAAUUUUGGUCUUUUUGAUUUUCUAGUUGCUUGUGACUUUGUAAUAACUCCUUGAUAUAGGAUUUUGGUAUUAACGUAGAAUGAAAUAUUUGUUUGCUCUUGUUGUCAAUCACUAAUGUUUCUCAGUUAUACUACUUACUCAGUACUUUGCGCACUAGCAAGGCCUUUAACUAUGAAUUAUUUACCGUUUUAUUUAUUUAUUUAUUUUUAUUCUUCGUGUUAUAGUCAAAAGAUGUUGCGUAGGGGAGGUGCUAGGCAUGCCUCUAGCUCGAGAGAUGUUUUAGGAAUCGCUGAUGACGUUGACCCAACCUUGCGUGAGAUGGCUAACGAAGGGAAUCCUAUGAUGCGCGCAAUGGUUAGAUUGAUGGAACAACAAAGUAAGUUGAUUCAAGAUAUGGCUAGAGGUAAAGUUGGGGCACAGGAGAAUGUGCCAGUUGAAAGACAAGGUGGUGGAAGAGAUCAGGGAGGUAUGAUGAGCUUAGAGCGGUUUAGGAAAUUGGGACCACCUACCUUUCAGGGGACUGCCGAUCCUAUGGUUGCAGAGGCAUGGUUAAGACAGAUGGAGAAAAUAUUUAUGGCUAUGGGUUGUAAUGAUGAUCAUAGGGUGAUAUUGGCCUCAUUCGUCCUUUAGGGCGAGGCAGACCACUGGUGGGAUGCCAAAUCCCGUCUUUUGAGGGCCGGGUUACAAGAUGCACCUAUUACUUGGGAGUUAUUUCUGGAGGCUUUUCAUGAAAAAUAUUUUCCUGAACGAGUUCGACAUCAGAUGGAGGUUGACUUCCUGAAAUUGACUCAAGGAACAAAGUUUGUUGCGGAGUAUGAGGAGCAAUUUACUGCUCUAUCUCAUUUUUCUCCUACCUUAGUUGCUAAUGAGGGUAGUAAGUGUAGGAAAUUCUUGGAAGGGUUACAUCCAAACAUCAAAAGACGGUUGACCAUCCUUAAGCUUAAUAAUUAUGCCGAUUUGGUGGAUCGUGCGAUUAUUGCAGAGAGGGAUAUAAUUCAAUCUCAAGUUGCACGAUCUAAUCGACAUAAUAACCAGCCAAUAAAACAUGAUAGUAAUGGUAGCGAAGGUGAACAUAAGGACUCUAAUGGUGGGUCUAUUCAAGAGAACAAACCAUUCUGUAAUCGUUGUGACAAGUACCAUAAUGGCACGUGCUAUUUAAAGAUAGAAGCUUGUUUUGGCUGUGGAAAGAUGGGGCAUAAGGUUAUAGAUUGCCCAAAAAAGCGCAGUGGUAACAUAGAUUCUGCCGAGAACCAAAGGAAAAAGCCAUGUGUCUUCGCCAUGGUGGAGCAAGAUAUUAAGAAACCGAAUAACGAAGCCUCAGGUGCAUUACCUAUUUUCCAUAGAAAGCCUUGAAUUUUUGAGUAAUUGGUAUUGUGCUUUUCCUCCAUCCUUUCUGAUUGGAUGCAUCGUAGCUAGAGUUUUUAGCCUAAUAAUUUCUUUUUUCAUCCAUUGAAUUUCUAUGGUACAUUAGUAGGAUAUGACGUGUGAUUUUAUAAGGCCAUUAGGAUUAACUUAUGGUUGGAUGGAGUAGGGACUAAUAUGAUAUUUAGUAGGAUAUGUGAUGAAGAUUGCAAUAAAAGUGUUUCACCAGCAAUGUGCGAGCGCAUUGAACAGUUUUGAAGUUGAAUGUGAAGUGAUAAAAAAUAUUCGCCAUCGAAACCUUAUCAAUGUUAUUGGCAGUUGUUCGAACGAUGACUUCAAAUCAUUAGUCCUAGAAUACAUGUCCAACGGGAGCUUGGAGGAUUGGCUGCAUUCUAGCAAUUAUGUGCUUAAUAUUUUUCGCAGGUUGAACAUAAUGAUUGACGUUGCAUCAGCUUUAAAAUAUCUCCACUUCGAUCAUUCAACUCGUAUCAUUCAUUGUGACUUAAAGCCUAAUAAUGUGUUGUUGGGUGAAAAUAUGGUUGCUCAUUUGAGUGAUUUUGGCAUAGCAAAGCUUUUAAGUGGAAGAUGAGUCUACGAUGCGAACAAAAACCCUUGCCACUAUAGGUUAUACGGCACCAGGUUUGCUUGAAACAACUUUUUUUUUUAGUUUAUUUUAAAAUUUCCAAAUUAUUGAUUUUUACGAUCCUCAUAUCAAAAUGUUAUUGAUUAUUUAUCUAAUUAUGAAAUAAUUUAAUUCAUAGAGUAUGGCAUAGAAGGAGAAAUAUCUGCAAAAAGUGAUGUUUACAGCUAUGGGAUUAUGUUGAUGGAAACUUUUACCAAGAAAAAACCCACAGAUGAGAUUUUUGUUGGAGAAUUGAGCUUAAAGCGUUGGGUUAAUGACUUGCUUCCUAAUUCAUUAGUGGAAGUUGUGGACAAAAUUCUGAUAAUUGGAGAGGAAAAACAUUUUGCCGCAAAGGAGCAAUGUCUGUUCUCUAUCUUUAUUUUGGCUCUGGAGUGUACAAUGGAAUCACCGGAAAAGAGGAUCAAUACAAAAGAUAUUGUUACCAGAUUACUCAAGAUAAGAGACACAUUGAGUAAAAGGAUAGGAAAUUUAAGUUAAUUUUGUUUGCUUUCAUUGAUAGUUACUUUGAAUUCAUGUAAUAAGUGUAAGAAUCGUUUAUCUUUUCUUUUGAUAUUUUUUUCUUGAGAAAACUGUUGUAGUCAUCUUUUUUCAAUGGGCAGAGUUGAUUUAGUUCUUCCAAGAAAUGCUAUUGUUGAUCUUUGUUAUAUACUUUUGUCUUUUUUUGCAUGCAUUUAGGUAGAAUAGUGGUCUAGCUGCAGGCUAACAAGUCAAGCUACGCUAAAAGGGUAUGAUUUAAUUUAUUAAACCUAACUUCAAGUUCAAGAAUUGUAUCUCAUUGCCACCAAUGCUUUAGACACCUAUUGGUAGGUUUGUGUCCUCAACUUUGUUUAGAGCAAAAGUUCCAGUCCCAUGGAGGCUCAAAUAUUCCUCUCCUACGUCCCGAACACACUAAAUUCAUCAGCCUCUUGAACCCUCUCCUGAGGGCGCCUUCUGUCCUCUGUUUUCUGUUUCCAUACACAAAUAGCAAAAAGAAUUCAGAAUGACAACUGGGACAUAUAUAAGAGUGAAAUAAUUAAAAAAAAUUAUGCUUUUUUGUUUGUCGUGUUAAAAUCGUAAGGUAUCUAAGUACUAUGAAAGAGAUUAGUUUACGAAAACUGAAGCCAAGGGUUCAUAAAAAAGUGCAAAGAGAAUAAAGGACAACGCUUAUGUAAAGCGACAUAAUUGUAUUGGUAGCACAAUGUCACGUUCAUACAGAGAUCAAGUACAUUAUUUACAGCUGGUAAGGGCUAAGAAUUGAUGUAGCUAGAAUACAAAUAUGAUAAGGUAUGUUGUGCACUAUUGUUUUAUUCUACAAUCAAUCUUGACCCUUGAUGCUUGGCUCUCAAUCUUGUCCAUUGAUCUUCUCUGAUCUCGAAAACUUCAAGACCUUUCAAUCUCAUGCCUUAUUAUUGGUAUGUUCUAUGCUGUUAAUUUCAAAUACUAGCUUUUCCGCCAACUUGCCAAUUAUUUGUUCAUUGGUGCGUUCUGUCAAACAGUGUGGAUACUUAUACCAAACGCUUUCUGUUUUAACUCCCCCUUUCAAGCUCAACUAUCUGGGAAGACACUAAUAAGCUUGUUUCUCAAGUAUAUGUAUCUGAAAAUUAAAUUUUCAAAAUUAUAUUCGGACUCUACAUUUUCUAAUGAACAUUGGUUUGGCUCAUAAGCUUAUUAUACUUGGGCUUGGUAGGAUUAUCGGUCGGUAGAUGAACAAGUGUUAGAGCUUUCGAAUUUAUGCCAAUUAAAAAAAAAUCUAUAUAAAUUUUCCACUAGGCUAUUACCACAAUAAACAUUUGGAUGAACUAUUAUUGAAACCUUAUUGAGAAGUAGGACAUGUCGCAUACCAAUGCACUGACAUAUCUUCAAAUAGUGGUAACUCCACACAACAUGGCACAAUAAAUUAGAGUUAUAUAGAUAAAAUCUUUCACUCUUUGGUAAUCAUCAAUGUCGGCAUGGCAAUGCGUCCGACAAAAUUCAUAAAUCAAAACAAAAAUAGAGAAUCAUAUUUGUUUCAGAUUGUAGUGAUGGUUGUUCAUAAUUCACAAUUUUAUUUAAUAUCUUCAAAUUCGCAUUUUAAAAUGCACAAAUGUUUGUGUAUACAUAAUUAGUAAUCGAUUCUCAAGCUUGGACAUUUAAAAGCACUGCUAAAAGACAAAAUUUUAAUUCACUAUUUUUUGUCUUUUAAUUUUCUUUAAGUUUUAAUGAUUCCGCAUUUUAAAAUCCUGUGGAACGUACAUGUAAAAUUCUUUUAUCUUUUAGAGGAAAAUGGGCAAGAGAAGAAGAUUUGGCAAAGGAAUUGCAACCGCAUUUGGAGCUAGUUUUAAUUUUGUCUUUUAAUUCUUUUACACUUGGCUUUUGUUAUUGAUGUCAACUUCGAUGUGUGUGCGUGUGCGACUGAAUUCAACUUACAUGCUAUUGAUGCAGCCACCAAAAAGGGGUGGUCCAUCAUCAAUCAACAAGGUUUAUUAUUAUUUCCAUAUUGAUUUUCUUAAUUAUAAAUAAUACUAAUGUUAUUUCAUAGUUAUAAAUAUAUUAGAAUUAAUCGAAAUCAUUUUUUAGUGUGGCAUGGCUAAAACUACCUUUUUUUUUUAUAAGUAAUUACUACUUUCACAUUAAGAAAAAUACUCCUAUUUUUAAGGAAAAGUCAAGUACCUGUAGUUGUGAAGACUCAAGCUCACUCCCUUAUGAUAAAUCUUCAUAUUAAUUACGUAAAUAUCCUCUAAAAUUUUAAAUUAGCUAUUCAAAAUUUGAUGUUAUACGGGUAUUUCAUUUAUUUGAGUAGGGGUUAGGGGUCAAUUGGAUACAAAUUCAAAAUUAUCCUUACUUGAGAAGGUGAUAAAAAUUGGGGAUUUAGUUUGGAUGUCAUUAGCUACAAAUAUUAAACUCAUACAUUUAAUUCAAAAUUAGAGGGCUGAUAUGUGCGCAUCAUCGUCCACGUUAUAGUGACACUGCGUCACCAUUCCACAACCUCUCCAAUGAAAAAUUGACAUGCUUCUUGUGCGCAUCUAAUCAGAAUCUUGAAAAUUAAUCACAAAAUUGUACUUUUAUUAUAAAAAGAAUAAAGAAACUCCAAGAAAAAAAAAAAGACUUACAUAAAUAGAUUGAAAAAUCUAGAUUUCAAGUUGUCUAUAUUAGCUUGAUAUUUUUAUUAAUAGUCAUCCUCCCAAAAAAAUUCCAUCAAAAUAUAUUUUAAUUUUAUGUUAAUUCAUAAACAUGAAAAAAUCAUUUUAGAAUUAAUUAAAACAUAAUUUAUUGUUGCUCAAAAAAGGUAGAACUUAGUUAUCAGAAAAAAGUGUCUAAAAUAUAUGUUAAAAAAAAAUCAUGGUUGGUUGGACUGAUUGAAUUUUUUUUUUCUUUUUUAAGAAUUAAGACAAUUGGAUGGAUUGAGUAAUAAUAAUACAUAUUUAUUUGGCAAAUGGCAGGGAGGCUUUCGUCUGAUGCAGAUUGAUUAGAGAGAAAAUAUAACAAUUUUAAGCUCGUCAGAUUCGAAGCUGCUUACCUGUCGUGUGGGGAUCACUUCCGUGUCUUAUUUUUCUAGAAAAAUCUGGACCAUUGGAUUUACCAUUAGUCAAUAGAGAAAUGUUGAUCUUGAUUCUUGAUCAAGAUCGAAGUUUGAUUCUAACUAACACGAUAUCAGAUUGCGAAGCAAGCAAAUUGAAAGUCACUUGUUCUAUGGAAGAAACACAAGUUCUAAUAAAACAUUCUCAUAGUAAAGUGAAUUACCAUCCAACGAUCCAACUCAUGUUUUCAAAUUGUAAAUUGCAAAUCGUGUGUUUGCUCCAUUACAGAGUUUCUUCAAUCUGAAAUAGCGAAUCAUUUGUGUUCUAGAUUAAUCGUGGGUCUAUAUCCAAAUCUAAAAAUUGACUAACUUGAUUUCUAUUAAAUUCUUAAUCCUAACAAGAAAAAUUGAAGAUUAAAAACGACUAAUUUGGUACCAUACCACUAUUGUAACAUAGGUAGAUCCUCUAUUAAUUGGAGUAAAGAUUGAAUUAUCUCAUUUAUUAAGGUUUAUCAAAAUCUUGUGUCAAAAUCUAUUAAUGAUAUAGGUUCAAGGAUGAAAAAGUCACUGCAUUACUUUUGAGUUCCCAAAUAGAUGAAUGGAUGUUAUUUUUAGAUUCCGGAGAGUCGAAAAUAUUAAGAUAGGUGCUAAAUCGAAUUAAGUUGUAGAUACGAUAGAAAUGGAUUUGGAGAGAUUGGAAUCCUAGGUAAUCCGGUGCACGUUGUCGUGUUAAAUUCUCGUUGACUUCACGUUGACUGAAGCAUUAUUGGAAGAAACAAGUUUAUUGAUGUGAGGCCUUUGAGGUUGUAAGUGUUAAAUCUGAGAAGAAUACCCACACACCCAUUAUCCUAUUACUCUUAUAUCACAUGAAGAGAAUUCAACAUUUGAUUCACACGGAAAAAAUUUGUGAGGAAUGUGAGGGUUGAUGGAAUAUAAUUUAGAUACAAAGUGUUUACCAGUGCGAUGCUUCGCAAGUGUUCUUGAAUCAAUAUAAACUCACAUUAUUUUCAUAGUGAUUGUUUCAUCUGCACGUUAAUAUAAUCACAUGUCGAGAUUUUUUUCCUUAAAUUAUGGUCUUAUUUAGUAUUGAGGUGUUAUAUCUUUUAAGGUACAAUUAUUGUUGGAAAAAAGUUACAACUAUCAAAUAAAAUUAAUACUAUGUGCUAAAUAUAAUUGUUAAAUAAUAAUUUUGACAAAAUUAGUGAAGUUAUAUAGAUUUUUUUCAUCAUCCAAGUAUAAAAUCAAAUCAACUUAACUUCUAAGUUAUAUAUCGGCUACUGUUUAUCAUAUGUUUUAGUUUUGUAACUUUUAAAUUAUAGUUACCCAACCUCAAUUCUAAACAAGACCUAUAAAGAUCAAAGAUUUCCUCAUUAAAUUAUAUGUCUUGUGAUUGCUUAUUUAAUUUAUAUUUUUGUUAUUUAUCUUUAUUAAUUAUAAUCAUCUUUUUAUAAAUUAAAAUUGAAGGAAGUUGAUUGAUGUUGUUGACACACACACGCACGCGCACGCACACACUCACAAAGAUAUAUUGGAAGUGCUUACGUCGACUCGAAGUUGUUGGGAAUUAAUGCAUGUAUUGAUUUAUUGGGAGUGUUUAAAUGAUUUUGUGAUUUACUUGAUUUAUUGAUUGAAUAUUGUUUGAUUGCUUCAUAUCCAUUCUAGAAAGUUUAUUUCUUUGUGAAAGUUCAACGAAAUAUGUUUUUUUUUUUAAAUAAGGGUGUUCUAAAUAAUUUUAAAAAAUAUAUGCUUGUCUUCCCAAAAUAGCCUUUGAAUACACAAGUAAAUGUCUAGCCUUUGGUGAGGAUAGUUUGGUCAUUGCAUUUUACAAGUAAGAUGAGUGGUGGAGAAAAAUGAGGAGUGCACAUAACUCUUCAGCAAAUCCCACCAACAAUUCCAUUUUCUUAAUUAAUUAAUCUCCUUUUUUAUCCCCAAACAAAUCCUAAUGAUACUAUUAUCAGGUUUAAAACAGUACACAAAUAGUGAAAAGCUAACUAGUCUGUAGAGUAAUUUGCUAAUUGCUAUCUCCUCUCUAUGCUCGCUGAAUAAUUUGUUGCAUGCAAACUUUUUAUUUUAUGCAAAUCAUACGUACUGUAACAUUGGAAUUGAUGUAUAAGCAAAAAUACAAUAAUAUUUAUGUCAAUACAAAUAGUUUUUUUUCCCUUUUUAAAUAAACACAACGCGAUGUUGCUCUGCUCUACAUUUUUGCUAUCUCUUUAUUAUUAUUAUUUUUUUUUGGGCUUCUUAAAGCCUCAAACUUUGAUAACCAAAACUUCAUCGACCUAUGAAAAAAUCUGCAGAUUAGUUUUUAUUAUCGGAAUAAUUGUUUGAGAAUACUAAAACAAAAUAUAAAAUAAGAAAAUACGGGGUUAAAUUUGGGGAAAACAAAAAGGCAUGUUGGAUAGAUUACUAUAGUUUAAGGGGAAAAAAAAAUUCAAUUGGAAAUUUUUUUCUUUAAUUUUUGUUUUACUUGAUUGAGAUUUCUCCUUAGUCCUUACAGUUUUAAGUUUGGAUGCCGUAGGGUUAGUAAUUUAGUAUUUCCCUUGCAAGCUGAGCUUAAGGAUGAAAUUUCUUUUAAGAAAUUAAAAAAGAUUAAAAAAAGCAUACCAAUAGGUAAUUAUAAAUAACCAUAAAUAAACAUAAACAAAAUGUUUAUGAAGUAAAUUACACAUGCACAUAUUAUUUUUUUGUUAUAUUUCUUACUUGUCUAUUUUAUUUGCUGCUUGAUAACCCGUAAAUACUAAUCUAGUACUGCUAAUUUCAGACACAAAAUGUUUAACUCUAGGCUGCAGUUUUACUCAAAAUGAUGACCACUGGCUUCGCACCAUUUAACCGGCAUACAUUUCUACAAAUUGAACAAGGCUAUUGAUUUUCAUUAUUAUUUUUUAUUUAUUUAUAAAUUACUAUUUUAAUUUUCACUUUUUAUUGGGUUGUUUACAGAUUAGUGAAGUUGGUGGUCGUGAUGCACUCACAAGGUACAAUUUUAUUUUAUAAUUUCAAAUUUGUAUUUUAAAAUGCAGGUACAUUAUGUAUACAUAAUUAUUGAUUUUCAUAUGUGGGUGUUUUGAAAUAUUGCUAAAAGACCAAACUUUAAUAAACUAUUUUUUAUCUUUUUUUUUCCUAAAGUUUGAGUGAUAUCCGCAUUUUAAAUUCAUGUGGAACAAAAGCUAAUGUAUGCUCAAAAUUCUUUUAUUUUUUCCGAGAAGAAUGGGUAAGAGAAGAAGAUUUUUCUGUUGAAAAAGAAAAACUAAUACGAUGCAAGCAUAGGAAAGAGGUCAGUGUUUUGGAUUAGAAUUUAGUAUUGAGCUGAAUUUUAUACUAAACUCUUUUAUAGUACUGCGAUUAAUAAACUCAUGAUUUGCUUUUGCUUUUACUUCAAGUGAAAGAAAGAGGAAACCGUUUGAUUUUUGUUUGAUUCUUGACUAUAGAUGUUACCUAUAUAGAGAGUUGAGGUAGCUGCCUUAAGUGAUGGUUAUAAAAAGAUUAAGCAGCGCACACAAUCUUACUGUCGUCCAGACCAUCCAGCUAUGAUGACUCUAGUUUUUUGGUUACAUUAACUUUAGUGGAAAGGAGGGCCAAUUUAACAAAGACUAGAUUUGGUGGCUUACUAUAAUGCUUAUUCUCAGGGAAUCUAAUGUUAUAAGAUGAUUUAAUGAUCUUCUAUGAUUGUGAGUAGUAUAGUAUAAUUGAAAAGAGCUUGGGCUCCUAUGAUGAAUAUUUAAUAGUAACACAGUACUGUUAUUGAAAAAAACACAGUUACAAUAAACUCUUCAUUUAUUCAUUGUGGAGAUUGAAUGGCAAACAGAGAAUAAAAUGAAGCAGAGGAAUCUCAUUGCCAGUAAAAUUGACCCUCUUUAAUGUUAUAUGGCACAGGUGUGUGUACAGCAAGAUCAAGUUACUUGCAGUUUUUAUUGUAAAAUAUAUAGGUUAUGACCAUGAUCAUUGUAGUUAGGUUUUGAUGAUUUUAGAUGCUUUUUUUAUUUUUUUUAAAAUUGUGACACCUUUGAUUUAUGGUAGCUUUGCAGAAGAAAAAUAUAUAUAUAUAAAUUAGGAGGGAUGAGUUAACUAACGAUUGCAAUCAUUACAGUAAUGUUGAUGAGUGAUACAUCAUUUGAAAUUUACUUGUCAGUUACUGAAAUGAUGAAAAAAAACAAUAAACAAUAGCAGUAAUAUUUUUAUGGAAAAUCUUGGUUUUUAUGGAAAUACUCUUGCUGAAAUUCUAAUUUUGACUUUCAACUCUUGGUUUUUAUGGAAAGUAAAAUGACUUGUUUGUUAUAUUCAUACAAUCCACUCUACAUAAUGAUUUCAUUUUAAUAAAUGCUUGAUGAUCUCCACUGAAAAACUACUUCAAUUCUUUUGUUUUAUUUAACUUUUUGGUUGUUGAAAAUAGCCUUAAUUUUCAAAUAAUUGGAGAAAGAGUAAAGAACAUUUAACAAAUUUAUGUGCCAAAAAUAAAGGAGAAAUUGAAGAGAAAGGGUGCUUGCAGAAGUGGGUGCAAAGAUAAAUCAGUCCAUAAGAAUUAUUGUGGUUAUUAAGUUUUUGGCAAUAUAAAAAUUUUUCAGCAAAUAAAAAUUGAUUUUUUCCGAUUUACUAAAAAAUUAAUUAAAAACUUCGGUGAUAGCAUUUUUUAUGGGUGCAUGUACCCUCCCUUUAAAAAAAAUAUAAUAAUUAAUACUUAAUAUAGUAUUAAAUACGAAAAUAUCAAUAUUUGACUACACAAAUUUAUAUCAUUAGGUCCUUAAAAUUUAAAAUUGAAGACACAAAAUGAAAUAUAUAUAAAUUUCAUUCUCACAGGAAAGGAUCCUCUUAUAAUCUUAAAAUAUUUGAGCUUUGAAAGAUUUUUUAAAACAAAUGUACUUUUAUUUUUGUACAAUCAAUAUUUACUUAUUUAUUAUAUUUUUAUUCAUUAACUAUCAAUCAUGUGAGUAUAUUUACUCAGAAAUAUCAUAUCAAGGAAGAAUCUUGAUCCCACGCACACACAAAUAUGUUAAUUUCUAUACGCUUCACUUACCUGUAGAAUCAAUUAUCUAAAAUGCAAGUUUGUGGCCACAAAAAAAGCCAAAGAAAGAAGAUAAUAACAAUUGACUUGUAUAUUAUACUCAUACAAUCCACUCGACAUAAUGAUAUCAUUUUAAUAAGGCAAUGGCUGAUGAUCUCCAUUGAAAAACCAAUUCAAUUUUUUUGCUUCAUUUAACUUUUUGGUUGUUGAAAAUAACCUUAAUUAUCAAAUAAUUGGAGAAAGAGUAAAGAACAUUUAACAAAUUUAUGUGCAAAAAAAAAAAAAAAAAAAGGAGAAGUUGAAGGGAAAGGGUGCUUGCAGAAGUGGGUGUCAAAGAAAAAUCUGUCCAUAAGAAUUAUUGCGGUUAUUUUUUGGCAAUAUAAAAUUUUUAUAGCAAGUAAAAAUUAAUUUUUUCCAAUUUACUAAAAAAUUAACUAAAAACUUCUGCGACAACAUUUUUUAUGGGUGCAUAUACCCGCCCUUUAAAAAAAAAAAUAAUUAAUGCUUAAGUUAGUAUUAAAUACGAAAAUAUCAAUAUUUGACUACUCAAAUUUAUAUCAUUAGGUCCUUAAAAUUUAAAAUUGAAGAUACUAAAGGAAAUAUAUAUAAAUUUCAUUCUCAUGGAAAGGAUUCUCUUAUAAUCUUAUAAUAUUUGAGUUUUGAAAUUUUUUUGAAACAAAUGUAAUUUUAUUUGUGUACAAUCAAUAUUUACUUAUUUAUUAUAUUUUAAUUUAUUAACUAUCAAUCAUGUAAGUAUAUUUAGUCAGAAAAAUUAUAUCGAGAGAGAAUCCUAAUUUCACGCAAACACAAAUACAAGACAAAUAUGUUAAUUUCUAUACUAUUCACUUUCCUGUAGAAUCAAUUAUCUAAAAUGCAAGUUUGUGGCUAUAGAAAACUCGCCAAAGAAAGAAGAUAAUAACAAUUGAGCAUUGAUAGCAAAACUAAUGCAUCAUUUUCUUCUUGACUUGAUGAGAUGGUGCCAUUACAAAACAAUAAUUACCUUAAUUGACGGGCACUGAGUGAUGUGAAUACUACCAGCCAGUUCAUCUCUUCCAGUCUUGCUUAAUCACAAUCACAAACACCACGAGAUUGACAUUUGCAUUAUAUAUAUCUUCAGCAAUCGAAACACCUUGCAUUACCAAAUUAACCGGUAACAAACAAAGCAACCUUUCAUGGAGAGAAACUUUAGUCUCAGUAUGAUCACUGUGUCAUUAACCCACUUCCUGCUUCUUUGCUUGGUUGUUGCAGCAGCAGCAGCAGCAGCAAGCAACAAUAUUACCACAGACCAACAAGCUCUUCUUGCCCUGAAAGAUCAUAUAACUUAUGAUCCAACCAAACUUUUUGCCCAUAAUUGGACCUCGAAUACCUCUGUUUGCACCUGGAUUGGCCUCAGUUGUGAUGUCAAUAGCCAUAGAGUCACAGCCUUAGAUAUUUCUCAAUUCAAUAUACAAGGCACCAUCCCUCCUCAACUUGGAAACCUCUCUUCACUCACAACACUUAAUCUUAGUCGUAAUAAGCUUUCUGGAAGCAUUCCCCCCUCCAUCUACACCAUGCAUACGCUAAAAUUUCUAGACUUCACUGAUAACCUGCUCUCUGGUUCAGUGUCUUCCUCCGUCUUCAACAUGUCUUCAAUAUUAGACAUUCGUUUGACCAAUAACAGACUUUCUGGUGAGCUUCCGAAAAAUAUUUGCAACUAUCUUCCUUACUUGAAAGCCCUUUUUCUGGACAAAAACAAGUUGCAUGGCAAAAUUCCUUCAGCUUUAUCAAAUUGCAAACAACUGCAACAAUUGCAUUUGCAGUUCAAUAAUUUAUCCGGUGCAAUACCGAAAGAAAUCGGCAACUUGACUAUGCUCAAAUGGAUAGAUCUCGGCUACAACAAACUCCACGGUAUGUUUCAUAAUGCUAUCUAAAUAUUUUAAUUUAUCACUUGUUUAUUUUAAUUUCUCACUUGUUAUUUUUCUUGAAUACUUUAGAUAAGAUCUAGUAAGUGAGAUUUUUUGCAUCUAUGUUAAUUUACCAGGUGAGAUACCCCCCGAAAUCGCUAAUCUUCGAAAUCUAGAGGCUUUGGUGCUUGGAAUGAACAACCUAGUGGGUGUGUUACCAGCUACAAUCUUCAACAUGUCAACACUGAAGGUAGUUAUCCUCAUUAAUAACUCUCUCUUCGGAAGUCUCCCAUCAAGAAUAGACCUUUCACUUCCAACUAUUGAGCACCUUAACUUGGCACUUAAUAGAUUUUCUGGAACCAUUCCUAGUUCCAUCACCAAUGCUUCUAAGCUCACCUUUCUAGAGUUGGGAGGAAACACAUUUUCGGGCUUUAUUCCGAACACAAUUGGUAAUUUAAGAAACCUUGAGUGGCUCAGCUUGGGUAAUAACUACUUGACAUCUUCAACCUCAAAAUUGAGCUUUCUUUCCUCUUUGGCAAAUUGCAAGAAAUUAAGAGACAUAGGCUUAACAGGCAAUCCACUCGACGGUAUCCUUCCAAGUUCAAUAGGUAAUCUUUCCAUGUCUUUGAAAACACUUUACAUCGGCAAUUGCAGUAUUAGUGGCAACAUUCCUCAAUCAAUUGGCAAUUUAAGCAACUUAUUGGCCUUAGUAUUAGAAGGCAAUAAAUUGACCGGACCAAUCCCAACUACAUUCGGCCAACUGCAGAAACUCCAAGGCUUAUUUCUUACAUUCAAUAAGUUGGUAGGUUCAUUCCCAGAUGAGCUUUUCCAUCUAGCUAGGCUGGAUAAAUUGGUAUUAUUGGGAAAUAAGCUUUCAGGAUCUAUGCCUUCAUGCUUAAGUAACCUCACUUCUCUGAGAUCUCUCUACUUAGGGUCCAAUAGGUUUACUUCUGUUAUUCCCUCAACUUUCUGGAGCCUAAAAGACAUCUUGUUCUUUGACUUUUCAUCAAAUUUCUUGGUUGGUACUCUUUCUUUCGACAUAGGUAAUUUGAAGGUGCUUCUAGGAAUAAGUUUAUCAGAAAAUAACUUAUCGGGUGAUAUGCCAGCCACAAUUGGAGGGAUAAAAAAACCUUCAAAUUAUGGACCUAGCAUAUAAUAGAUUGGAAGGGCAAAUUCCUGAAUCAUUUGGUGACUUGACAAGUUUGGAGGUUUUGAAUUUGUCAAAUAAUAAAAUCUCUGGGUCUAUUCCAAAAUCCAUGGAGAAACUCUUUUACCUCCGAGAGUUAAAUCUCUCUUUCAAUGAACUAGAAGGUGAGAUUCCUAGUGGAGGAAUUUUUGCCAACUUCACAGCUGAGUCAUUUAUGGGAAAUGAGUUAUUGUGUGGUUUACCAAAUCUUCAAGUCCAACCAUGCAAAGUUAGCAAGCCGAGGACAGAACAUAAAUCAAGGAAAAAGAUACUUCUCAUUGUGAUUGUUUUGCCAUUGAGUAUUGCUCUAACAAUAGCAAUCACUCUACCUCUCAAAUCUAAGCUGAUCGAAUGUGGAAAAAGAAGCACAGUGUUGUCAAAUGAUAGUGUCUUGUCAUCACAAGCAACACUAAGAAGAUUUUCAUACUUAGAACUUUUACAAGCAACAGAUAAUUUUGCUGAAAACAACGUAAUUGGCAUAGGAGGUUUUGGUUCUGUUUACGGUGGAAGACUUGAAGAUGGGAUGAAGAUUGCAAUAAAAGUGUUUCACCAGCAAUGUGCAAGCGCAUUGAAGAGUUUUGAGGCUGAAUGUGAAGUGUUAAAAAAUAUUCGCCAUCGAAACCUUAUUAAAGUUAUCAGCAGUUAUUCAAACAAUGACUUCAAAGCAUUAGUUCUAGAAUACAUGUCCAACGGGAGCUUAGGGGACUGGCUGCAUUCUAGCAAUUAUGUGCUGAAUAUAUUUCAGAGGUUGAACAUAAUGAUUGAUGUUGCAUCAGCUUUAGAACAUCUCCACUUCGAUCAUUCGACUCCUAUUAUUCAUUGUGACUUAAAGCCUAGUAAUGUAUUGUUGGACGGAAAUAUGGUUGCUCAUUUGAGUGAUUUUGGCAUAGCAAAGCUUUUAAGUGGAGAGGAUGAGUCUAUGAUGCGAACAAAAACCCUUGCCACUAUAGGUUAUAUGGCACCAGGUUUGCUUCAAACAACUUUUUUUUUUUAGUUCAUUUUAAAUUUUGCAACUUAUUGAUUUUUACGAUCCUCACAUCAAAAUGUUAUUGAUUAUUUAUCUAAUUUUGAAAUUAAUUUGAUUCAUAGAGUACGGCAUAGAAGGAGAAGUAUCUACAAAAAGUGAUGUUUACAGCUAUGGGAUUAUGUUGAUGGAAACUUUUACCAAGAAAAAACCCACAGAUGAAAUUUUUGUUGGAGAAUUGAGCUUGAAGCGUUGGGUUAAUGACUUGCUUCCUACUUCAUUAGUGGAAGUUGUGGACAAAACUCUGCUAAGUGGAGAGGAAAAACAUUCUGCAGCAAAGGAGCAAUGUCUGUUGUCUAUCUUUAGUUUGGCUCUGGAGUGUACAAUGGAAUCACCGGAAAAGAGGAUUAAUGCAAAAGAUAUUGUUACAAGAUUACUCAAGAUAAGAGACACAUUGAGUAAAAGGAUAGGAAAUUUAAGUUAAUUUCGUUUGCUUUCAUUGAUAGUUAAUUCGAAUUCAUGUAAUAAGUCUAAGAAUCUUAUAUCUUCAAAUUCGCAUUUUAAAAUGCACAAAUGUUUGUGUAUACAUAAUUAGUAAUCGAUUCUCAAGCUUUGGACAUUUAAAAGCACUGCUAAAAGACAAAAUUUUAAUUCACUAUUUUUUUGUCUUUUAAUUUUCUUUAAGUUUUAAUGAUUCCGCAUUUUAAAAUCCUGUGGAACGUGCAUGUAAAAUUCUUUUAUCUUUUAGAGGAAAAUGGGCAAGAGAAGAAGAUUUGGCAAAGGAAUUGCAACCGCAUUUGGAGCUAGUUUUAAUUUUGUCUUUUAAUUCUUUUACACUUGGCUUUUGUUAUUGAUGUUAACUUCGAUGUGUGUGCGUGUGCGACUGAAUUCAACUUACAUGCUAUUGAUGCAGCCACCAAAAAGGGGUGGUCCAUCAUCAAUCAACAAGGUUUAUUAUUAUUAAUUUCCAUAUUGAUUUUCUUAAUUAUAAAUAAUACUAAUGCUAUUUCAUAGUUAUAAAUAUAUUAGAAUUAAUCGAAAUCAUUUUUUAGUGUGGCAUGGCUAAAACUACCUUUUUUUUAUUAUAAGUAAUUACUACUUUCACAUUAAGAAAAAUACUCCUAUUUUUAAGGAAAAGUCAAGUACCUGUAGUUGUGAAGACUCGAGCUCACUCCCUUAUGAUAAAUCUUCAUAUUAAUUACGUAAAUAUCCUCUAAAAUUUUAAAUUAGCUAUUCAAAAUUUGAUGUUAUACGGGUAUUUCAUUUAUUUGAGUAGGGGUUAGGGGUCAAUUGGAUACAAAUUCAAAAUUAUCCUUACUUGAGAAGGUGAUAAAAAUUGGGGAUUUAGUUUGGAUGUCAUUAGCUACAAAUAUUAAACUCAUACAUUUAAUUCAAAAUUAGAGGGCUGAUAUAUGCGCAUCAUCGUCCACGUUAUAGUGACACUGCGUCACCAUUCCACAACCUCUCCAAUGAAAAAUUGACAUGCUUCUUGUGCGCAUCUAAUCAGAAUCUUGAAAAUUAAUCACAAAAUUGUACUUUUAUUAUAAAAAGAAUAAAGAAACUCCAAGAAAAAAAAAAGACUUACAUAAAUAGAUUGAAAAAUCUAGAUUUCAAGUUGUCUAUAUUAGCUUGAUAUUUUUAUUAAUAGUCAUCCUCCCAAAAAAAUUCCAUCAAAAUAUAUUUUAAUUUUAUGUUAAUUCAUAAACUUGAAAAAAUCAUUUUAGAAUUAAUUAAAACAUAAUUUAUUGUUGCUCAAAAAAGGUAGAACUUAGUUAUCAGAAAAAAGUGUCUAAAAUAUAUGUUAAAAAAAAAUCAUGGUUGGUUGGACUGAUUGAAUUUUUUUUUCUUUUUUAAGAAUUAAGACAAUUGGAUGGAUUGAGUAAUAAUAAUACAUAUUUAUUUGGCAAAUGGCAGGGAGGCUUUCGUCUGAUGCAGAUUGAUUAGAGAGAAAAUAUAACAAUUUUAAGCUCGUCAGAUUCGAAGCUGCUUACCUGUCGUGUGGGGAUCACUUCCGUGUCUUAUUUUUCUAGAAAAAUCUGGACCAUUGGAUUUACCAUUAGUCAAUAGAGAAAUGUUGAUCUUGAUUCUUGAUCAAGAUCGAAGUUUGAUUCUAACUAACACGAUAUCAGAUUGCGAAGCAAGCAAAUUGAAAGUCACUUGUUCUAUGGAAGAAACACAAGUUCUAAUAAAACAUUCUCAUAGUAAAGUGAAUUACCAUCCAACGAUCCAACUCAUGUUUUCAAAUUGUAAAUUGCAAAUCGUGUGUUUGCUCCAUUACAGAGUUUCUUCAAUCUGAAAUAGCGAAUCAUUUGUGUUCUAGAUUAAUCGUGGGUCUAUAUCCAAAUCUAAAAAUUGACUAACUUGAUUUCUAUUAAAUUCUUAAUCCUAACAAGAAAAAUUGAAGAUUAAAAACGACUAAUUUGGUACCAUACCACUAUUGUAACAUAGGUAGAUCCUCUAUUAAUUGGAGUAAAGAUUGAAUUAUCUCAUUUAUUAAGGUUUAUCAAAAUCUUGUGUCAAAAUCUAUUAAUGAUAUAGGUUCAAGGAUGAAAAAGUCACUGCAUUACUUUUGAGUUCCCAAAUAGAUGAAUGGAUGUUAUUUUUAGAUUCCGGAGAGUCGAAAAUAUUAAGAUAGGUGCUAAAUCGAAUUAAGUUGUAGAUACGAUAGAAAUGGAUUUGGAGAGAUUGGAAUCCUAGGUAAUCCGGUGCACGUUGUCGUGUUAAAUUCUCGUUGACUUCACGUUGACUGAAGCAUUAUUGGAAGAAACAAGUUUAUUGAUGUGAGGCCUUUGAGGUUGUAAGUGUUAAAUAUGAGAAGAAUACCCACACACCCAUUAUCCUAUUACUCUUAUAUCACAUGAAGAGAAUUCAACAUUUGAUUCACACGGAAAAAAUUUGUGAGGAUUGUGAGGGUUGAUGGAAUAUAAUUUAGAUACAAAGUGUUUUACCAGUGCGAUGCUUCGCAAGUGUUCUUGAAUCAAUAUAAACUCACGUUAUUUUCAUAGUGAUUGUUUCAUGUGCACGUGGAUAUAAUCACAUGUCGAGAUUUUUUUCCUUAAAUUAUGGUCUUAUUUAGUAUUAAGGUGUUAUAUCUUUUAAGGUACAAUUAUUGUUGGAAAAAAGUUGCAUCUAUCAAAUAAAAUUAGUACUAUGUGCUAAAUAUAAUUGUUAAAUAAUAAUUUUGACAAAAUUAGUGAAGUUAUAUAGAUUUUUUUUCAUCAUACAAGCAUAAAAUCAAAUCAACUUAACUUCUAAGUUAUAUAUCGGCUACUUAGGGAUGGCAAUGGAUUGGAUCUGACCCAAGAUCCACGUGAUCCAAAUCUAAUCGGAUCGGAUUUGGGUCAGUUUAAAAUGAAUUUGGAUCGGAUUUGGAUAUUGAUGUGCGGAUCUAAGACGGAUCUGGAGCAGGUCUGGAUCUAUCUUAGUAUCUAAAUCCAUAUCCAUAUCCACCCAUCUUUUAAUUUAAUUUUAUUUUAAAAGUUUCUUAACAAUUGUGGAAUUAUAAUGAUAAUGAAUUUUAUUCAUAGCAUAUUAGUGGUAUUUACCAUGCAUUUAAACUCUUUAAAAUUAAAGGUUAGUUUUGUAAAUUUAAAGACUAGCCAGGCCCAAAGCAUGUACAUGCAAUAUUCAAAUUGCAAGCCAAGUAAUACAACCUGGCAAUUUAUUUUAUUAUAUUGGCCAAAUAAUUUUUAAGGAAUAUAGGUAUUCAUAUAUUUUGUCAAAUAUGGUCAUAAUAAAAAUAAUAAAGGACUGAAUAUAAAUCAUAUUUUAUUUAUAUGUCAUUAUCUAAUAUUAUAAGAAUGAGGGUGGGUGUGUUGUAGAUAUUAGAAUGAUGAAUGAGACAAUAGAAUAUUAGAUUGAUCUUACUCCUGCAAUUACUUUUAAAGGAUAUUUUAUUAUCUUAUUUGUUGUUUUGGUGUAAAAGUAUAAGUUACAAUAUUUAUUAUAUUUUUGAGAAAAAUUAUAUAAUUUAUUUGUUAUCAAUACAUUUUAACCUUCAAUUUUCAUUCUAAAAAAUUAUUACUUUUUAAUUGAUGAGUUUUAGAAUUCAUGACAGAUCUAGAGCAGAUUUGGAUUUUAAUUUUUUUUUUCAGAUUUGGAGCAGAUAUAAAUAUUUAUUUCUUUUAUGGAUAUGGAUAUGGAGCGAAAAAUAUAGAUUCAUGAUGGAUCUGGAGCAGAUACGGAUCUUGAUUUUUAUUAUGGAUUUGGAUCUGGAGCAGAGUAGAUCCAACCCAUAUCUGCCCCAUUGCCAUCCCUACGGCUACUGUUAAUCAUAUGUUUUAGUUCUGUAACUUUUAAGUUAUAGUUACCCAAUCUCAAUUCUAAACCAGACCUAUAAAGAUCAAAGAUUUCCUCAUUAAAUUAUAUGUCUUGUGAUUGCUUAUUUAAUUUAUAUUUUUUUUUAUUUAUCUUUAUUAAUUAUAAUCAUCUUUUUAUAAAUUAAAAUUGAAGGAAGUUGAUUGAUGUUGUUGACACACGCACACACGCACACACUCACAAAGAUAUAUUGGAAGUGCUUACGUCGACUCGAAGUUGUUGGGAAUUAAUGCAUGUAUUGAUUUAUUGGGAGUGUUUAAAUGAUUUUUUGAUUUACUUGAUUUAUUGAUUGAAUAUUGUUUGAUUGCUUCAUAUCCAUUCUAGAAAGUUUAUUUCUUUGUGAAAUUUCAACGAAAUAUGUUUUUUUUUUUAAAUAAGGGUGUUCUAAAUAAUUUAAAAAUAUAUAUGGACUAAUUAGAAUUAAUUAUUAGGUAAUUAACUCAAUCUGUAUAGGGUGAAACAACAUUUAUCCUAAUUAUAUCAUGAUAAAUACUUUUCCUAUUAGAAUUAGGAAAUCAUAGGUUUAUUGAAUUGUUUUUUUUUUUCCUUUGCGGAAACGGAUUAGAGAAUUAGAAAACAAUCAUGUUGAUGUCAAAAUCUGAUCUAGUCGGUUAGCGACUUAAUAUCAUAUUACUGCACCAACAUUAAAUUUAUUGGGUGGAGAAUCGACUGGUCAAUUGUCAAGAUGUCCUGCAAUCACUAGCGAUUAACCUACGAAUACCUAAAAUCACAGAAGACGGUAAGAGGCACCGGAAGUUUUUUCGGCGUGAACCUUCCGACGCUCAAGUCAGUUUAUAGGUUUACCAUAAUAAAAAUAAAUAAUUUCUAUUUAAAAAAAAAUAGAGUUCAAAAGCUCAAAAAUAAAACCCAAUCCCAAUAUGAAAAUGAAUUUUUUUUUUUUUUUUUCUAGCUUGGCCGAAUCCUUCUGCCUCCUAAAGAAACAUAACAGAGAAGCAGGUAGCCAUGUUCCCUAGGUAACGCCCCACUCCCCUCUUUUAUUCCUCCCCCUCUCUUCCGUUUCCUUCUUUUGCUCACUAUCCUUCAUAAUUUUUUAUGCUUGUCUUCCCAAAAUAGCCUUUUAAUACACAAGUAAAUGUCUAGGCUUUGGUGAGGAUAGUUUGGUCAUUGCAUUUUACAAGUAAGAUGAGUGGUGGAGAAAAAUGAGGAGUGCACAUAUAACGCUUCAGCAAAUCCCACCAGCAAUUCCAUUUUCUUAAUUAAUUAAUCUCUUCAGCAAAUCCCACCAACUCUUCAGCAAAUCCUAAUGAUAUUAUUAUCAGGUUUAAAACAGUACACAAAUAGUGAAAAGCUAACUAGUCUGUAGAGUAAUUUGCUAAUUGCUAUCUCCUCUCUCCGCGCGCUGAAUAAUUUGUUGCAUGCAAACUUUUUAUUUUAUGCAAAUCGUACGUACUGUAACAUUGGAAUUGAUGUAAAAGCAAAAAUACAAGAAUAUUUAUGUCAAUAAAAAUAGUUUUUUUGGCCUUUUUAAAUAAACACAACGCGAUAUUGCUCUGCUCUACAUUUUUGCUAUCUCUUUAUUCUUCUUUUUUUUUUUGGGCUUCUUAAAGCCUCAAACUUUGAUAACCAAAACUUCAUCGACCUAUGAAAAAAUCUGCAGAUUAGUUUUUAUUAUCGGAAUAAUCAUUUGAGAAUACUAAAACAAAAUAUAAAUAAGAAAAUAGGAGGUUAAAUUAGAGGGGGGAAAAAAGGUAUGUUGGAUAGAUUACUAUAGUUUAAGAAAAAAAAAUCCAAUUGGGAAUUUUUUUCUUUAAUUUUUGUUUUACUUGAUUGAGAUUUCUCCUUGGUCCUUACAGUUUUAAGUUUGGAUGCCGUAGGGUUAGUAAUUUAGUACUUCCUUUGCAAGCUGAGUGCAAGAAUGAAAAUCUUUAAAGAAAUAAAAAAAAAAAAAAAAAGCAUACCAAUAGGUAAUUAUAAAUAACCAUACAUAAACAUAAACAAAAUGAGGUAAUUAUUAAUAUUAUUUUUUGUUUUAUUUCUUACUUGUCUAUUUUAUUUGCUGCUUGAUAACCCGUAAAUACUAAUCUAGUACUGCUAAUUUCAGACACAAAAUUUUUAACUCUAGGCUGCAGUUUUACUCAAAAUGAUGACCACUGGCUUCGCACCAUUUAACCGGCAUACAUUUCUACAAAUUGAACAAGGCUAUUGAUUUUCAUUAUUAUUUUUUAUUUUUUUAUAAAUUACUAUUUUAAUUUUCACUUUUCAUUGGGUUGUUUAACGGAUUAGUGAAGUUGGUGGUCGUGAUGCACUCACAAGGUACAAUUUUAUUUUAUAAUUUCAAAUUUGUAUUUUAAAAUGCAGGUACAUUAUGUAUACAUAAUUAUUGAUUUUCGUAUGUGGGUGUUUUGAAAUAUUGCUAAAAGACCAAACUUUAAUAAACUAUUUUUCAUCUUUUUUUUUUCCUAAAGUUUAAGUGAUAUCCGCAUUUUAAAUUCAUGUGGAACAAAAGCUAAUGUAUGCACAAAAUCCUUUUAUUUUUUCCGAGAAAAAUGGUUAAGAGAAGAAGAUUUUUCUCUUGAAAAAGAAAAACUAAUACGAUGCAAGCAUAGGAAAGAGGUCAGUGUUUUGGAUUAGAAUUUAGUAUUGAGCUGAAUUUUAUACUAAACUCUUUUAUAGUACUGCGAUUAAUAAACUCAUGAUUUGCUUUUGCUUUUACCUCAAGUGAAAGAAAGAGGAAACCUUUUGUUUUUUGUUUGAUUCUUGACUAUAGGUGUUACCUAUAUAGAGAGUUGAGGUAGCUGCCUUAAGUGAUGGUGAUAAAAAGAUUAAGCAGCGCACACAAUCUUACUGUCGUCCAGACCAUCCAGCUGUGAUGACUCUUGUUUUUUGGUUACAUUAGCUUUAGUGGAACGGAGGGCCAAUUUAACAAAGACUAGAUUUGGUGGCUUACUAUAAUGCUUAUUCUCAGGGAAUCUAAUGUUAUAAGAUGAUUUAAUGAUCUUCUAUGAUUGUGAGUAGUAUAGUAUAAUUGAAAAGAGCUUGGGCUCCUAUGAUGAAUAUUUAAUAGUAACACAGUACUGUUAUUGAAAAAAACACAGUUACAAUAAACUCUUCAUUUAUUCAUUGUGGAGAUUGAAUGGCAAACAGAGAAUAAAAUGAAGCAGAGGAAUCUCAUUGCCAGUAAAAUUGACCCUCUUUAAUGUUAUAUGGCACAGGUGUGUGUACAGCAAGAUCAAGUUACUUGCAGUUUUUAUUGUAAAAUAUAUAGGUUAUGACCAUGAUCAUUGUAGUUAGGUUUUGAUGAUUUUAGAUGCUUUUUUUAUUUUUUUUAAAAUUGUGACACCUUUGAUUUAUGGUAGUUUUGCAGAAGAAAAAAAUAUAUAUAAAAAUUAGGAGGGAUGAGUUAACUAACGAUUGCAAUCAUUACAGUAAUGUUGAUGAGUGAUACAUCAUUUGAAAUUUACUUGUCAGUUGCUGAAAUGAUGAAAAAAAACAGUAAACAAUAGCAGUAAUAUUUUUUGGCAAUAUAAAAAAUUAUUGCGGUUAUUUUUUGGCAAUAUAAAAAAAUUUUAGCAAAUAAAAAUUAAUUUUUUUCCGAUUAACUAAAAAAUUAAUUAAAAACUUCUGCGAUGGCAUUUUUUAUGGGUGCAUAUACCCUCCCUUUAAAAGAAAAAAUAAUAAUUAAUACUUAAUAUAGUAUUAAAUACGAAAAUAUCAAUAUUUGACUACACAAAUUUAAUAGUCUUGUGUAAUUAGUGAGUGAGAGAUUGGGUGUAUUGGAGUUUUGGGUAGUGAGCCAAAAUAUUACAAUACUUGUAAUCUUUAUUUCACUAGUGAAAUAUUUUCCUUCUGUUUUUGCCCGUGGACGUAGGCUAAAAGCCGAACCACGUAAUUUCUGGUGUCCUCUAUUGUACUUGUUCUUUAUUUGCUUCCAAUUUUAUUUUAACUGCGCGUCUGCUUCACCCAUCAAUUUCCUAACAAAUCUUGAUCCCAUGCACACGCAAAUAUGUUAAUUUCUAUACGCUUCACUUACCUGUAGAAUCAAUUAUCUAAAAUGCAAGUUUGUGGCCACAAAAAAAGCCAAAGAAAGAAGAUAAUAACAAUUGACUUGUAUAUUAUACUCAUACAAUCCACUCGACAUAAUGAUAUCAUUUUAAUAAGGCAAUGGCUGAUGAUCUCCAUUGAAAAACUAAUUCAAUUUUUUUGCUUCAUUUAACUUUUUGGUUGUUGAAAAUAACCUUAAUUAUCAAAUAAUUGGAGAAAGAGUAAAGAACAUUUAACAAAUUUAUGUGCAAAAAAAAAAAAAAAGAAGUUGAAGAGAAAGGGUGCUUGCAGAAGUGGGUGUCAAAGAAACAUCGGUCCAUAAGAAUUAUUGCGGUUAUUUUUUGGCAAUAUAAAAUAUUUAUAGCAAGUAAAAAUUAAAUUUUUUCCGAUUUACUAAAAAAUUAACUAAAAACUUCUGCCACAACAUUUUUUAUGGGUACAUAUACCCUCCCUUUAAAAAAAAAAUAAUAAUUAAUGCUUAAUAUAGUAUUAAAUACCAAAAUAUCAAUAUUUGGCUACUCAAAUUUAUAUCAUUAGGUCCUUAAAAUUAAAAAUUGAUGAUACAAAAGGAAAUAUAUAUAAAUUUCAUUCUCAUGGAAAGGAUUCUCUUAUAAUCUUAUAAUAUUUGAGUUUUGAAAUUUUUUGAAGCAAAUGUAAUUUUAUUUGUGUACAAUCAAUAUUUACUUAUUUAUUAUAUUUUAAUUUGUUAACUAUCAAUCAUUUAAGUAUAUUUAGUCAGAAAAAUUAUAUCAAGAGAGAAUCCUAAUUUCACGCAAACACAAAUACAAGAUAAAUAUGUCAAUUUCUAUACUAUCCACUUUCCUGUAGAAUCAAUUAUCUAAAAUGCAAGUUUGUGGCUACCGAAAACUCGCCAAAGAAAGAAGAUAAUAACAAUUGAGCAUUGAUAGCAAAACUAAUGCAUCAUUUUCUUCUUGACUUGAUGAGAUGGUGCCAUUACAAAAAAAAAAGUACCUUAAUUGACGGGCACUGAGUGAUGUGAAUACUACCAGCCAGUUCAUCUCUUCCAGUCUUGCUUAAUCACAAUCACAAACACCACGAGAUUGACAUUUGCAUUAUAUAUAUCUUCAGCAAUCGAAACACCUUGCAUUACCAAAUUAACCGGUAACAAACAAAGCAAUCUUUCAUGGAGAGAAACUUUAGUCUCAGUAUGAUCACUUUGUCAUUAACCCACUACCUGCUUCUUUGCUUGGUUGUUGCAGCAGCAGCAGCCGCAAGCAACAAUAUUACCACAGACCAACAAGCUCUUCUUGCCCUGAAAGAUCAUAUAACUUAUGAUCCAACCAACCUUUUUGCCCAUAAUUGGACCUCGAAUACCUCUGUUUGUACCUGGAUUGGCAUCACUUGUGAUGUCAAUAGCCAUAGAGUCACAGCCUUAGAUAUUUCUCAAUUCAAUCUACAAGGCACCAUCCCUCCUCAACUUGGAAACCUUUCUUCACUUACAACGCUUAAUCUUAGUCAUAACAAGCUUUCUGGAGACGUUCCAUCCUCCAUCUACACCAUGCAUUCGCUAAAAUUUCUUGACUUCACUGAUAACCAGCUCUCUGGUUCAGUGUCUUCCUUCGUCUUCAACAUGUCUUCAAUAUUAGAAAUUCUUUUGACCAAUAACAGAUUUUCUGGUGAGCUUCCGAAAAAUAUUUGCAACUAUCUUCCUUAUUUGAAAGCCCUUUUCUUAAACAAAAACAUGUUUCAUGGCAAAAUUCCUUCUGCUUUAUCAAAGUGCAAACAACUGCAAAAAUUAAAUUUGCAGUUCAAUAAUUUAUCCGGUGCAAUACCGAAAGAAAUCGGCAACUUGACUAUGCUCAAAGGCAUAUAUCUCGAAUACAACAAACUCCACGGUAUGUUCAUAAUACUAUGUAAAUGUUU
Molecule: long non-coding RNA, 37125 nt
Filed under: Citrus maxima (pomelo)
Lineage: Eukaryota; Viridiplantae; Streptophyta; Magnoliopsida; Sapindales; Rutaceae
Description: long non-coding RNA (CMAX_LNC003928)
Source: RNAcentral